RNAcentral lists this small RNA (28 nucleotides) under Bombyx mori (domestic silkworm). RNAcentral's name for it is "ovarian small RNA-3032". Lineage: Eukaryota; Metazoa; Arthropoda; Insecta; Lepidoptera; Bombycidae. The record is from RNAcentral.
UAGAUAUACCUUCGAUAUGUCCUGUGUC